UCUGCAGCAGAGGGUUCUGUUCGCGCGCGAUUCGCGGCGCGAACUGGGCAGGAUUGAGAGGAGUUCUGUAAUUCAUUGUUCGCGGCGCGAACCCUGCUUCGCGGCGCGUACUGAAGCGAAAUAAGUUGUUCGCGACGCGAUCCUUCGUUCGCGGCGCGAACUGUGUUGUAUUGGAGGAGUUCGCGGCGCGUCCCUAUGUUGGCGGCGCGAACUGGAGAAAUG
This 222-nucleotide long non-coding RNA is filed under the name Lathyrus oleraceus (garden pea). RNAcentral's name for it is "Pisum sativum (pea) long non-coding RNA (PSAT_LNC005842)". Lineage: Eukaryota; Viridiplantae; Streptophyta; Magnoliopsida; Fabales; Fabaceae. The record is from RNAcentral.